GACGAACGCUGGCUUCGUGCUUAACACAUGCAAGUCGAACGGAAAGGCCCUGCUUUUGUGGGGUGCUCGAGUGGCGAACGGGUGAGUAACACGUGAGUAACCUGCCCUUGACUUUGGGAUAACUUCAGGAAACUGGGGCUAAUACCGGAUAGGAGCUCCUGCUGCAUGGUGGGGGUUGGAAAGUUUCGGCGGUUGGGGAUGGACUCGCGGCUUAUCAGCUUGUUGGUGGGGUAGUGGCUUACCAAGGCUUUGACGGGUAGCCGGCCUGAGAGGGUGACCGGCCACAUUGGGACUGAGAUACGGCCCAGACUCCUACGGGAGGCAGCAGUGGGGAAUAUUGCACAAUGGGCGGAAGCCUGAUGCAGCAACGCCGCGUGCGGGAUGACGGCCUUCGGGUUGUAAACCGCUUUCGCCUGUGACGAAGCGUGAGUGACGGUAAUGGGUAAAGAAGCACCGGCUAACUACGUG
This 468-nucleotide ribosomal RNA is filed under the name uncultured bacterium. RNAcentral's name for it is "partial 16S ribosomal RNA". It matches the Rfam family "Bacterial small subunit ribosomal RNA", at positions 28 to 507 of the family's 1533-position model. The record is from RNAcentral.